GUGUUUUUUGCCAUUUGAAGUAGCUGGAGUCUCCAUCAGCAGCGGUUGAAGUCUUCAACAGAGCAACUUCUUCUUCGUCCAGCAGCGCAGCUUCACUCCAGCAUCACCGUGGCAGAUGUCAACACUCCAGCUUCUGUGAGGAACGAAGGCAAUGGUUGUUCCUCUGCUUUUCUCCUUCUCUUCUCUGUGUAUAUUUUUUUUUGCUCUGUUCUUGUUCGUGCUCUGCCUCUCCCUUUCUUUCUCCCUGUUUGCGUCUUCCUUUCUGUCCCCCGCGUCUUCUGCCUCUCCCCUUUUGCUGGUUUUGCCUUUUUUCCUCAUGCUCUGGAUCUCCUUUUCUCUCAGUUUUUCCCCAGUUUUUCCUCAGUUUUUCUUCCCCUGUUUCUGUUUUGUUUUCUGCCCCUGUCGUUUGUUCUUUCUCUAGCUUUUAUAAAGCCGGAGAACGUGGUAAUGAUCUUGGGAGUGAGCCAUAAAAACUGGGGACUUGGACUGCAUCGUGUCCCACGAGCUGCAGUUACAGAUUUCCUGCUGAACCAGUCUCUCUUGGGCGAGGAAUAAGGUGGAGAAUAGUGGAUUCAGAAACGGCGUCGUUUUCUUGAAAUGUCCAUUUUCAACUUGGCCCCUAAACUUCUGACAUUUAACAAUUAGGUCCCUGAUUCCUUUAAUUAAGUAAUUCCAAGUUCAAAUGA
Molecule: long non-coding RNA, 686 nt
Organism: Populus trichocarpa (black cottonwood)
Lineage: Eukaryota; Viridiplantae; Streptophyta; Magnoliopsida; Malpighiales; Salicaceae
Exons: 2
Source: RefSeq, a predicted model, not a curated record